Molecule: ribosomal RNA, 248 nt
Filed under: uncultured bacterium
Lineage: Bacteria
Description: partial 16S ribosomal RNA
Rfam family: Bacterial small subunit ribosomal RNA
Source: RNAcentral
AUACGUAGGUGGCAAGCGUUGUCCGGAUUUAUUGGGCGUAAAGCGAGCGCAGGUCGGUUUUUUAAGUCUGAUGUGAAAGCCCUCGGCUUAACCGAGGAAGCGCAUCGGAAACUGGGAAACUUGAGUGCAGAAGAGGAGAGUGGAACUCCAUGUGUAGCGGUGAAAUGCGUAGAUAUAUGGAAGAACACCAGUGGCGAAGGCGGCUGCCUGGUCUGUAACUGACGCUGAGGCUCGAAAGUAUGGGUAGC